CAAUAGCGUAUAUUUAAGUUGUUGCAGUUAAAAAGCUCGUAGUCGGAUUUUGGCUGAGAACGAUCGGUCCGCCGUUAGGUGUGCACUGAUUGGUCUCAGCUUCCUGGUGAGGAGGUGUGCUUCACGACCACUUAGUCACCGUGGUUACUUUGAAAAAAUUAGAGUGUUCAAAGCGGGCUUACGCUUGAAUAUAUUAGCAUGGAAUAACACCAUAGGACUCCUGUCCUAUUUCGUUGGUCUCGGGACGGGAGUAAUGAUUAAGAGGAACAGUUGGGGGCAUUCGUAUUUCAUUGUCAGAGGUGAAAUUCUUGGAUUUAUGAAAGACGAACUUCUGCGAAAGCAUUUGCCAAGGAUGUUUUCAUUGA
Molecule: ribosomal RNA, 365 nt
Filed under: uncultured eukaryote
Lineage: Eukaryota
Description: partial 18S ribosomal RNA
Rfam family: Eukaryotic small subunit ribosomal RNA
Source: RNAcentral